This 334-nucleotide RNase P RNA is filed under the name chicken gut metagenome. RNAcentral describes it as "Bacterial RNase P class B". It matches the Rfam family "Bacterial RNase P class B". From Rfam's summary of the family: Ribonuclease P (RNase P) is a ubiquitous endoribonuclease, found in archaea, bacteria and eukarya as well as chloroplasts and mitochondria. The record is from RNAcentral.
CGGGGCAAACGCUGCAAAGUUUUUUGUAGAGGAAAGUCCACGCUCGCACUAUCUGGGAUGAUAGUAGUGUUUGUGCUUAGGGAAAAAAUAACCUAAGGCAACAAUAGUUGACGGCUUCUUGCUGACCUAAGGUAUUGCUAUGGUUAGUUGGAUGUAAAAGUGCCACAGUGACGAAGCUAUUUAGAAAUAAGUAGAGUGAAACGAGGUAAACCCCACAAGCGAGAAACCCAAAUUUUGGUAGGGGAACUACUCGAGGAGAAAAAGAAUCUAAGAGUGGAUACUUAGGUAUAGAUAAAUGUUUGCCGCCUUUUUAGGUACAGAACGUGGCUUAUAA